UGCAAGUCGAACGGAUAGGCCUCAGCUUGCUGGGGUACUCGAGUGGCGAACGGGUGARUAACACGUGGGUGAUCUGCCUCGUACUCUGGGAUAAGCCUYGGGAAACYGGGUCUAAUACUGGAUAGGACCAUGCUUUAGUGUGUGUGGUGGAAWGUUUUUUCGGUACGAGAUGAGCCCGCGGCCUAUCAGCUUGUUGGUGGGGUAAUGGCCUACCAAGGCGUCGACGGGUAGCCGGCCUGAGAGGGUGGACGGCCACAUUGGGACUGAGAUACGGCCCAGACUCCUACGGGAGGCAGCAGUGGGGAAUAUUGCACAAUGGGCGCAAGCCUGAUGCAGCGACGCCGCGUGGGGGAUGACGGCCUUCGGGUUGUAAACCUCUUUCGCUAGGGACGAAGCUUUUGUGACGGUACYUAKAUAAGAAGCACCGGCUAACUACGUGCCAGCAGCCGCGGUAAUACGUAGGGUGCGAGCGUUGUCCGGAAUUACUGGGCGUAAAGAGCUCGUAGGUGGUUUGUCGCGUCGUCUGUGAAAUUCCGGGGCUUAACUUCGGGCGUGCAGGCGAUACGGGCAUAACUUGAGUGCUGUAGGGGAGACUGGAAUUCCUGGUGUAGCGGUGGAAUGCGCAGAUAUCAGAGGAACACCGAUGGCGAAAGGCAGGUCUCUGGGCAGUAACUGACGCUGAGGAGCGAAAGCAUGGGGAGCGAACAGGAUUAGAUACCCUGGUAGUCCAUGCCGUAAACGGUGGGCGCUAGGUGUAGGGGUCUUUCCACGACUUCUGUGCCGUAGCUAACGCAUUAAGCGCCCCGCCUGGGGAGUACGGCCGCAAGGCUAAAACUCAAAGGAAUUGACGGGGGCCCGCACAAGCGGCGGAGCAUGUGGAUUAAUUCGAUGCAACGCGAAGAACCUUACCUGGGCUUGACAUAUGCAGGAUCGGCGUAGAGAUACGUUUUCCCUUGUGGUCUGUAUACAGGUGGUGCAURRUWGUCGUCAGCUCGUGUCGUGAGAUGUUGGGUUAAGUCCCGCAACGAGCGCAACCCUUGUCUUAUGUUGCCAGCACGUUAUGGUGGGGACUCAUGAGAGACUGCCGGGGUUAACUCGGAGGAAGGUGGGGAUGACGUCAAAUCAUCAUGCCCCUUAUGUCCAGGGCUUCACACAUGCUACAAUGGUCGGUACAACGCGCUGCGAGCCUGUGAGGGUGAGCGAAUCGCUGAAAGCCGGCCUCAGUUCGGAUUGGGGUCUGCAACUCGACCCCAUGAAGUCGGAGUCGCUAGUAAUCGCAGAUCAGCAACGCUGCGGUGAAUACGUUCCCGGGCCUUGUACACACCGCCCGUCACGUCAUGAAAGUUGGUAACACCCGAAGCCAGUGGCCUAA
RNAcentral lists this ribosomal RNA (1372 nucleotides) under Corynebacterium diphtheriae. RNAcentral describes it as "bacterial SSU rRNA". It matches the Rfam family "Bacterial small subunit ribosomal RNA". Lineage: Bacteria; Bacillati; Actinomycetota; Actinomycetes; Mycobacteriales; Corynebacteriaceae. The record is from RNAcentral.